This 1070-nucleotide ribosomal RNA is filed under the name Xenorhabdus sp. BG5. RNAcentral's name for it is "partial 23S ribosomal RNA". It matches the Rfam family "Bacterial large subunit ribosomal RNA", at positions 591 to 1661 of the family's 2925-position model. Lineage: Bacteria; Pseudomonadati; Pseudomonadota; Gammaproteobacteria; Enterobacterales; Morganellaceae. The record is from RNAcentral.
GGGUGACUGCGUACCUUUUGUAUAAUGGGUCAGCGACUUAUAUUCUGUAGCAAGGUUAACCGCAUAGGGGAGCCGCAGGGAAACCGAGUCUUAACGGGGCGUUAAGUUGCAGGGUAUAGACCCGAAACCCGGUGAUCUAGCCAUGGGCAGGUUGAAGGUUGGGUAACACUAACUGGAGGACCGAACCGACUAAUGUUGAAAAAUUAGCGGAUGACUUGUGGCUGGGGGUGAAAGGCCAAUCAAACCGGGAGAUAGCUGGUUCUCCCCGAAAGCUAUUUAGGUAGCGCCUCGUGAAGUCAUCUUCGGGGGUAGAGCACUGUUUCGGCUAGGGGGUCAUCCCGACUUACCAACCCGAUGCAAACUGCGAAUACCGAAGAAUGUUAUCACGGGAGACACACGGCGGGUGCUAACGUCCGUCGUGAAGAGGGAAACAACCCAGACCGCCAGCUAAGGUCCCCAAGUCAUGGUUAAGUGGGAAACGAAGUGGGAAGGCUCAGACAGCCAGGAUGUUGGCUUAGAAGCAGCCAUCAUUUAAAGAAAGCGUAAUAGCUCACUGGUCGAGUCGGCCUGCGCGGAAGAUGUAACGGGGCUAAACCAUGCACCGAAGCUGCGGCAGCGACACAUCAGUGUCGUUGGGUAGGGGAGCGUUCUGUAAGCCGUUGAAGGUGAACUGUGAGGUUUGCUGGAGGUAUCAGAAGUGCGAAUGCUGACAUAAGUAACGAUAAAGCGGGUGAAAAACCCGCUCGCCGGAAGACCAAGGGUUCCUGUCCAACGUUAAUCGGGGCAGGGUGAGUCGACCCCUAAGGCGAGGCUGAAAAGCGUAGUCGAUGGGCAACAGGUUAAUAUUCCUGUACGGGCACCAAUUGCGAUGGGGGGACGGAGAAGGCUAGGCAAGCCGGGCGACGGUCGUCCCGGUUUAAGUGUGUAGGUGGGCUGACCAGGCAAAUCCGGUUAGCCACAACACUGAGGCACGAUGACGCGGCACUACGGUGCGGAAGUUGCUGAUGCCCCGCUUCCAGGAAAAGCCCCUAAGCUUCAGAUUGGUGUUCAUCGUACCCCAAACCGACACA